UCGGAUAUAGUGUAACGGCUAACAUUUGCGCCUUUCAUAGCUAUUCUGGUAGUUUCGCGCAAGCUCGGGGUUCGAUUCCCCGUAUCCGAA
Non-coding RNA from Fistulina hepatica ATCC 64428, 90 nucleotides. The record is from the annotation of a GenBank genome assembly. NCBI's taxonomy places the organism in Eukaryota, Fungi, Basidiomycota, Agaricomycetes, Agaricales, Fistulinaceae.